GUGCCAGCGCCGCGGUAAUACCGGCAGCCCGAGUGAUGGCCGAUCUUAUUGGGCCUAAAGCGUCCGUAGCUGGCUGCGCAAGUCCGUCGGGAAAUCCACUCGCCCAACUACUGGGCGUCCGGCGGAGACUCCGAGGCUUGGGACCGGAAGGCUCGAGGGGUACGUCCGGGGUAGGAGUGAAAUCCCGUAAUCCCGAACGGACCACCGAUGGCGAAAGCACCUCGAGAAGACGGCUCCGACGGUGAGGGACGAAAGCUAGGGUCUCGAACCGGAUUAGAAACCCUAGUAGUCC
This 292-nucleotide ribosomal RNA is filed under the name uncultured bacterium. RNAcentral describes it as "partial 16S ribosomal RNA". It matches the Rfam family "Archaeal small subunit ribosomal RNA", at positions 455 to 747 of the family's 1478-position model. The record is from RNAcentral.